RNAcentral lists this ribosomal RNA (466 nucleotides) under uncultured bacterium. Its description in RNAcentral is "partial 16S ribosomal RNA". It matches the Rfam family "Bacterial small subunit ribosomal RNA", at positions 28 to 507 of the family's 1533-position model. The record is from RNAcentral.
GACGAACGCUGGCGGCGUGCUUAACACAUGCAAGUCGAACGGACAGACGAUGCUUGCAGGGUACUCGAGUGGGGAACGGGCGAGUAAGAAACGGGUGAACAGCCCAGCAAUAAGGGAUAAGUAAGGGAGACAGGGUCGAAUAAAGGACAGGAGAUAUAUUGAGUGGGGUGGUUGGAAAGUUUUUUCGGUGUAGGAUGAGAUUGAGACGUAGCAGCGUGUUGGUGGGGUAAUGGCCUAACAAGGCGGCGACGGGUAGCCGGCCUGAGAGGGUGUACGGCCACUUCGGGACUGUGAUACAGGCCAGACUCCUGCGUGUUGCAGCAGUGGCGAAUAUUUGACAAUGCGCGCCAGCCUGAUGCAUCGACGCCUCGUGAUCGAUGAACGCCUUCGUUUUGUAAACUCCUUUCUCUAGGUACGAAGCUUUGUUUUGACGGUACCUAGUUAAGAAGCCCCGGCUAACUACGUG